Molecule: long non-coding RNA, 1767 nt
Filed under: Heterocephalus glaber (naked mole-rat)
Lineage: Eukaryota; Metazoa; Chordata; Mammalia; Rodentia; Bathyergidae
Description: lncRNA (ENSHGLG00000033157.1)
Source: RNAcentral
GAGGGGGCGCUGCAGGGCGGCCGGACGAUGCCCACGUCAGGCCGCGGGCGCGAGAAAGCCUUCAGCCACACUCGCCGAUCCAAGGGAUGGCCAAGGAUCUGCCCCUGCCCAGGCCCACGCCCAGCCUGGGGGAAUCAUUGAGAGGGAAGGCUCGGCUUCCCCCGUCACCUCGUCCACCCUGAGCCACGUCCACCGCGCUGGGGUUGGCCCUCCCGCACACUCUGGUGGUUUCCUGUCUGCGAGCACGGAAGUAAACAAAGACCAUCCAACCAACAAGGACUCUCGCUCAGGAGUGAUGCCAUGGCAGGACGGGGAGAGCUUCAGAGUGGACAGGAGACCAUUUCCGGUGUGCCUGGCAGGAGGCUUCCAGCCUAGGGAUCAGGAGGCAGCUACCUGGACGCGGGACACCCCAUUUAAUUGGCCAGAGGAACAUAUUUGGCUUUUGCUUGGAAAAGAGGAUAAGUUGGAAACAGAGAGCACGGGAAGAGAAUAUUGUGGCUGCAGUUCUUGAAAACCCUGCCUCAUACUGUGGCUUUGGGAAGACAGAGAAGCUGACUGCAGGAGCUCCACCUGCACUUCCUGCUCCAGAUGCUCCCUCCAUGGAGACCCCUGGAAUAAACCAGAGUGGGGCCCCAAAUGCCAAGGAACUUCUUGCCAUCACCCAUUUCUGAUGGCUAUUGCCAGCCCCAGCAGGAAGAGGAGAAGCUGGACUGAAGGUGGUAAAGAAGCCCAGAAGAGGCUGCAGUCUCUGCAAAAGCACUGAGAUGCAAAGGCCCCACUCCUCUGAGCUGGUUUUGAACUUCUGGCUUCAGGAGAUCCUCUUGCCUCAGCCUCCUUGAAUAGCUGGCACUACAAGUAUGUUCCACCGUACCCAGCUUGCAUCAGUAGUUGAAGUGCUGGGGGACCAAAUCCUGCAUGCUAGGAAAGUGCUCUACCACUGAGCUACGUCUGCAGCCCAAGGUCACCAUUUUGCCUGCCCACCAGCAGUGUAUGUGGGUUUAGGGUGAUUCACAGCUUUGCCAGCGCUUGGUGCUGUCAGUCUUGUUAUUUCAGACUUCACAGCAGGACUUUGACACCAUCCAUCUAGGUAGAACCUCUGGCUAAGCUCCCAGGGAGGAGGAGAAAUGCCAAUUUUACAGAAAACUCAAGAAGAUCCAUUCACCUGCUUCCUGGGAGAACAGAUGGUAUUUUGCCUGAGGAAUAUGAAGAAUGCAAAUUUGCUUUCUCUCACUCAGGAUGGAGUUGGUGCUUAUAAAAAGAUACACAGACUAAUAAAUGCUGCCAGUUUGCAAAGCCAACUUAUCCUAGUUUUUUGACAACAAAAUGGUACAUCCUGCAAGAUGUUACUUCUCCACUUGAAACACAUUUUUCAUCAAGCCAAAUAAGUUGCCACAGAUGCCACACCUCCUUCUUACAUGUGUCUUCCUGCCUCUGCCUCCCAGAGUGCUGGGAUUACAGGCAUGUGCCACCAUGCCUAGUCCUACAAACUUCCUCAAACUGUGGAGUCAGGGUUCAUCUUGAUCUGUGUCAGGUCUGAAUACAGUGCCCUCUGGGUCUCUGCUGAGGCUGUCACGUGACACCAGAGUGAAGAGCAGAGGUGACCAAGGGGGAGUGGUCCUUCAGACCCUGGCUGUAGCUCCUAUUCUGUAUCUGGGAAGACUCCUAGCUCUGGCCUCUUGUGAACCCCAGGAAGGAUGGGACUUCUGAGUUCUCUCUGAGCUUGUCAUGCAGUGCCAAUAUUACACUGUGUACUACAUUAAAGGAGGC